RNAcentral lists this ribosomal RNA (446 nucleotides) under uncultured bacterium. Its description in RNAcentral is "partial 16S ribosomal RNA". It matches the Rfam family "Bacterial small subunit ribosomal RNA", at positions 338 to 795 of the family's 1533-position model. The record is from RNAcentral.
CCUACGGUGAGCAGCAGUCGAGAAUCAUUCACAAUGGGGGAAACCCUGAUGGUGCGACGCCGCGUGGGGGAAUGAAGGUCUUCGGAUUGUAAACCCCUGUCAUGUGGGAGCAAAUUAAAAAGAUAGUACCACAAGAGGAAGAGACGGCUAACUCUGUGCCAGCAGCCGCGGUAAUACAGAGGUCUCAAGCGUUGUUCGGAAUCACUGGUCGUAAAGCGUGCGUAGGCUGUUUCGUAAGUCUUGUGUGAAAGGCGCGGGCUCAACCCGCGGACGGCACAUGAUACUGCGAGACUAGAGUAAUGGAGGGGGAACCGGAAUUCUCGGUGUAGCAGUGAAAUGCGUAGAUAUCGAGAGGAACACUCGUGGCGAAGGCGGGUUCCUGGACAUUAACUGACGCUGAGGCACGAAGGCCAGGGGAGCGAAAGGGAUUAGAUACCCUGGUAGUC